RNAcentral lists this ribosomal RNA (481 nucleotides) under uncultured bacterium. RNAcentral's name for it is "partial 16S ribosomal RNA". It matches the Rfam family "Bacterial small subunit ribosomal RNA", at positions 28 to 507 of the family's 1533-position model. The record is from RNAcentral.
GACGAACGCUGGCGGCGGGCUUAACACAUGCAAGUCGAACGGGAGCCGGGCGUUCGGGUUUGGUGUGAGUGGCGAACGGGUGAGUAACGCGUGAGUAACCUGCUCCCUGCGGUGGGUUAACGCCGGGAAAGCGGCGCUAUUACUCGAUAGUCUUGCGGCAGCGCGUGGGGGGGUUUGGGAAGGGAUGCUGGUGGGGGAUGGGCGGGCGGCCUAUCAGCUUGGUGGGGUGGUGAUGUACUACCAAGGCUUUGACUGGGAGCCGGGGGGUGAGGGUGUCCGGCGAAACUGGGACUGGGACACGGCCCAGACGCGUACGGGAGGCAGCAGUGGGGAAUAUUGCGCAAUGGGCGUAAGCCUGAUGCAGCGAGGCCGCGUGAAGGAUGACGGGAUUCGGGUUGUAAACCACUUUCAGUAUGGAACAAGGAGCCUUCAUUUGGGGGGUUUGAGGGUACGUGCAGAAGAAGCGCCGGCUAACUACGUG